Long non-coding RNA from Dermochelys coriacea (leatherback sea turtle), 298 nucleotides. RefSeq lists it as uncharacterized. The transcript has 3 exons. The record is from RefSeq and is a predicted model, not a curated record. Lineage: Eukaryota; Metazoa; Chordata; Testudines; Dermochelyidae.
GUGGCUGUGCACAGCAGCCUCCUGCUGAGAAACUGCUGAGACUCCAAGCUGCACCAGGGGAAGCCAGUUGACCAUGGGGACUGAAGGAGACCACUCGCUGUGACCAGCAGAGGAGUUGCCAGAGACAGAGGGAAGGUAACAUCUAAAGUUCACAAUGGAGACUCGAGCCCUGCUGUGCUUUGUACCGUGCUUUGCUUGUCUUUCUGUACAUGGUGAGAGUGUAUAUUGAUAUUUCUGUCUUGACAAGAGGAAGUUGCAUGACUACUGCAGGGAGCACAGCUCAAGCAGCUUAAGACUU